This 21-nucleotide microRNA is filed under the name Zea mays. RNAcentral describes it as "microRNA miR-3168". Lineage: Eukaryota; Viridiplantae; Streptophyta; Magnoliopsida; Poales; Poaceae. The record is from RNAcentral.
UUGAGGUGAAUACGAGAGCAU